CUUUAUGAUGAACACUUCGUACACCAUAGGGAUUCCUCAUGCAGAAUACAUAAUGUUGAAUCCGGUGCAAUAGUUUCAGCCUUGUCUGAUC
Molecule: small nucleolar RNA, 91 nt
Organism: Colletotrichum chlorophyti
Lineage: Eukaryota; Fungi; Ascomycota; Sordariomycetes; Glomerellales; Glomerellaceae
Rfam family: A. fumigatus snoRNA Afu_455
Source: Rfam